Molecule: long non-coding RNA, 669 nt
Filed under: Pogona vitticeps (central bearded dragon)
Lineage: Eukaryota; Metazoa; Chordata; Lepidosauria; Squamata; Agamidae
Description: lncRNA (ENSPVIG00000000494.1)
Source: RNAcentral
AUGAAACUGACAAGAGGAUGCAUCAUUACAAUCACACAACCCCCCCACCUCCCAAAGACUAUAUUUCGGAGGGGAUUUUGUGGACCCUCAUCGGACACCAAACAGGACCAGAUUUUCUCCCCCAAAGCUCAAUAUCUCUUCUUUAGCCAUCAUUUCUUUCUCUCCCCCACAAGCCUCAGUAAACCCCUUCUCUCUUCCCACACCCACCCAUGCAUAUCCCUUUCCACUUUGAGGAUCAGCAAGGAUUCUUCUGGGCUUAAAAGAAGAAGAAAAGGGUCCACAGGAAUUCAUGACCUCUGCCACCCGUGGAGAGAUUUCUUUCCAACCUUUCCAAGCAGCAGUCAGAGAAAGACUGACGCACCCCGAAUGCCCGAGCGGAGAGGGGCUCCUUCUCCCUUCCCAAAGCUUUCAGCUCGCAGCCCGGCUCCUCGUCUCCGUGUGCUCCCGGCAGGUUUGGCUCUGACACCACUGGAGGCGAAAGCUGAACAUCUGUGGUUCUCCUUGGCACGCUAUCCCUCGAAAGCAAAGCCAGCGGCUGCUUUGGCUCCAAGACAGAGUGGAGGAAACCCAAGAAAGGUGGGCUGCUGCCUGGAUCUCUCCGAAGGCUCUGCUUGUUUUUCAAGACCCACCCGGAGUCUUUUCCAUCUUUCCUUCAAAACUGUUUCUUAG